RNAcentral lists this ribosomal RNA (492 nucleotides) under uncultured bacterium. Its description in RNAcentral is "partial 16S ribosomal RNA". It matches the Rfam family "Bacterial small subunit ribosomal RNA", at positions 29 to 507 of the family's 1533-position model. The record is from RNAcentral.
AGUGAACGCUGGCGGUAGGCCUAACACAUGCAAGUCGAACGGCAGCACAGUAAGAGCUUGCUCUUACGGGUGGCGAGUGGCGGACGGGUGAGGAAUACAUCGGAAUCUACUUUUUCGUGGGGGAUAACGUAGGGAAACUUACGCUAAUACCGCAUACGACCUACGGGUGAAAGCAGGAGAUCUUCGGACCUUGCGCGAUUGAAUGAGCCGAUGUCGGAUUAGCUAGUUGGCGGGGUAAAGGCCCACCAAGGCGACGAUCCGUAGCUGGUCUGAGAGGAUGAUCAGCCACACUGGAACUGAGACACGGUCCAGACUCCUACGGGAGGCAGCAGUGGGGAAUAUUGGACAAUGGGCGCAAGCCUGAUCCAGCCAUACCGCGUGGGUGAAGAAGGCCUUCGGGUUGCAAAGCCCUUUUGUUGGGAAAGAAAAGCAGCAGGUUAAUACCCCGCUGUUCUGACGGUACCCAAAGAAUAAGCACCGGCUAACUUCGUG